CAGCAGUGGGGAAUAUUGCACAAUGGGGGAAACCCUGAUGCAGCCAUGCCGCGUGUGUGAAGAAGGCCUUCGGGGUUGUAAAGCACUUUCAGUAGGGAGGAAGGUAGUGUAGUUAACACCUGCAUUAUUUGACGUUACCUACAGAAGAAGCACCGGCUAACUCCGUGCCAGCAGCCGCGGUAAUACGGAGGGUGCGAGCGUUAAUCGGAAUUACUGGGCGUAAAGCGCAUGCAGGCGGCCUGUUAAGUCAGAUGUGAAAGCCCGGGGCUUAACCUCGGAAUUGCAUUUGAAACUGGCAGGCUAGAGUCUUGUAGAGGGGGGUAGGAAUUUCAGGUGUAGCGGUGAAAUGCGUAGAGAUCUGAAGGAAUACCAGUGGCGAAGGCGGCCCCCUCGGACAAAGACUGACGCUCAGAUGCGAAAGCGUGGGGAGCAAACAGGAUUAGAUACCCUGGUAG
This 455-nucleotide ribosomal RNA is filed under the name uncultured bacterium. RNAcentral's name for it is "bacterial SSU rRNA". It matches the Rfam family "Bacterial small subunit ribosomal RNA", at positions 349 to 793 of the family's 1533-position model. The record is from RNAcentral.